AUACGGAGGUUGCAAGCGUUACUCGGAAUCACUGGGCGUAAAGCGCGCGCAGGCGGCUAUUUAAGUUGGAUGUGAAAGCCUACGACUCAACCGUAGAACUGCAUCCAAAACUAUUUAGCUAGAGUGUGGGAGAGGAAGAUGGAAUUAGUUGUGUAGGGGUAAAAUCCGUAGAGAUAACUAGGAAUACCAAAAGCGAAGGCAAUCUUCUGGAACACUACUGACGCUGAGGCGCGAAAGCGUGGGGAGCAAACAGGAUUAGAAACCCUAGUAGUCC
This 274-nucleotide ribosomal RNA is filed under the name uncultured bacterium. RNAcentral's name for it is "partial 16S ribosomal RNA". It matches the Rfam family "Bacterial small subunit ribosomal RNA", at positions 523 to 796 of the family's 1533-position model. The record is from RNAcentral.